This is a non-coding RNA of Podarcis lilfordi (Lilford's wall lizard), 1181 nucleotides long. The record is from the annotation of a GenBank genome assembly. Lineage: Eukaryota; Metazoa; Chordata; Lepidosauria; Squamata; Lacertidae.
ACACUCAAUAAGAUGGCCCAAAUGCUGAAAUUUCUACUGAAGUAUUGCUCACUGGACUCUUAACAUAUAUAUUCCUCCCUGGGCCCACUAGAAUUUCAGUGGUACCUCGGGUUACAAAUGCUUCGAGCUACAUUUUGUCGGGUUACAAAUAAUUUUAACCCAGACGUGAAUUUUCUGAGCUCUCGGAGGCCUCGCCGCUGCCGAGUCCCAACAUCCGUGGGGCCUACGGAUGCUCCACGAGGCAUCCGCGAAUGCUGGGAGCCAAGCCAAUUGUGAUUGUGGAAGAGGACUCUGAGCCUCCAUCCAAACAAGGACUAUCAUCAGCGCAGGUAAGGAAAAAAUCACAUUUUCAUUUUGUACUGUUUUAUUGAUUUCAAUUUUUUGGUCAAUGGCCUCGUUAGAUAGUAAAAUUUAUGCAAAAUUGCUGUUUUUGGGGUCGCUUUUCAUCGUCUGGUUCCUGUUGAGUGUGUUUCGUUUGUUAAUUGAGUCCCUCGCUGCUAAUCAGAGGCUUCCUGUUGAGUCUGCCAGCUGUUGAGUCCUGAGCACCCACGCAACACAGAAGUUAUAGUUGGAAGUUUUGUUUUUGCUUUUCUUUUUUUUUGCAUUUUGGUUGUCUGGCUUUUUCAGUUUUUUGACGUGACUUGUUCUUCAUUCGCUUUUGUGACUGUGGCUUGUGAUUUCAUAUUUGUGACUUGUUUUUGUGACUGUGAGGAACCCAGUUCAGCUACUGAUUGACUGUGUGACUGUAGAAAUGGAUAAAAAAACCCAUUCAAACUGACUAUCAUCAGUUAAUUUUUUUUUCCAUUAAAAUACUGUCUUAUUUAUUUUAUAGUGCUGUAAAUUGAUUAUUGCCUUCAUUUUUUGGAUCAAUGGUCUCGUUAGUAAAAUCGUGUUAAAUUGCUGUUUUAGGGGUGUUUUUUUCAUCGUCUGGAACAGAUCAAUCCACUUUCCAUUAUUUUCAAUGGGAAAGUGUGCUUCAGGUUAAGAACACUUCAGGUUAAGAACGAACUUCCGGAACCAAUUAAGUACUUAACCUGAGGUACCACUGUACCUGCUCUGAUACCGUGGUAACCGCCUGUCAACACCUGAGCCUCCUGCCACCAGAUGCAGAACAGCAUGUGCUUCAAAUGGCUGUAAUCUGCCCAGGGACCUUAAGGAUCAAGAGCAACUAUAAAUAAAAG